AGACUUUGAUCCUGGCUCAGGAUGAACCGCUGGCGGCGUGCCUAACACAUGCAAGUCGAGCGCGGUCCCUUUGGUGCUUGCACCGAAGACGACUGAGCGGCGGACGGGUGAGUAACGCGUGGGUAACCUGCCCUGUACAUAUGGAUAACAUGCUGAAAAGCAUACUAAUACAUAAUAACGUACAUUGAAGGCAUCUUCGAUGUAUCAAAGCGUUAGCGGUACAGGAUGGACCCGCGUCUGAUUAGUUAGUUGGUGGGGUAACGGCCUACCAAGACUGCGAUCAGUAGCCGACCUGAGAGGGUGAUCGGCCACAUUGGAACUGAGACACGGUCCAAACUCCUACGGGAGGCAGCAGUGGGGGAUAUUGCACAAUGGGCGCAAGCCUGAUGCAGCAACGCCGCGUGAACGAUGAAGGUCUUCGGAUCGUAAAGUUCUGUUGCAGGGGAAGAUAAUGACGGUACCCUGUGAGGAAGCACCGGCUAACUACGUGCCAGCAGCCGCGGUAAUACGUAGGGUGCUAGCGUUAUCCGGAUUUACUGGGCGUAAAGGGUGCGUAGGUGGUCUUCCAAGUCGGUGGUUAAAGGUUACGGCUCAACCGUAUUAAGCCGCCGAAACUGGAAGACUUGAGUGCAGGAGAGGAAAGUGGAAUUCUCAGUGUAGCGGUGAAAUGCGUAGAUAUUGGGAAGAACACCAGUAGCGAAGGCGGCUUUCUGGACUGCAACUGACACUGAGGCACGAAAGCGUGGGUAGCAAACAGGAAAAGAUACCCUGGUAGUCCACGCCGUAAAC
Molecule: ribosomal RNA, 789 nt
Filed under: uncultured bacterium
Lineage: Bacteria
Description: bacterial SSU rRNA
Rfam family: Bacterial small subunit ribosomal RNA
Source: RNAcentral